This 831-nucleotide ribosomal RNA is filed under the name alpha proteobacterium SCGC AAA008-E11. Its description in RNAcentral is "SSU rRNA". It matches the Rfam family "Bacterial small subunit ribosomal RNA", at positions 14 to 891 of the family's 1533-position model. The record is from RNAcentral. Lineage: Bacteria; Pseudomonadati; Pseudomonadota; Alphaproteobacteria.
UGACACUGCUCAUAACCGUAUCGCUGGGCUGCACGCCUAACACAUGCAAGUCGAACGAAGUAGCAAUACUGAGUGGCGAACGGGUGAGUAUAAUGUGGGUAUCUGCCUUUUGGUUUGGAAUAACACGAGGAAACUUGUGCUAAUACUGGAUAAGCCUUUACAGGGAAAGUUUUAACGCCAAAAGAUGAGCCCGCACUUGAUUAGCUAGUUGGUAAGGUAAUGGCUUACCAAGGCUACGAUCAAUAGCUGAUCUGAGAGGAUGAUCAGCCACAUUGGGACUGAGACACGGCCCAAACUCCUACGGGAGGCAGCAGUGGGGAAUCUUGCACAAUGGGGGAAACCCUGAUGCAGCGAUGCCGCGUGAGUGAAGAAGGCCUUUGGGUUGUAAAGCUCUUUCGUCGGGGAAGAAAAUGACUGUACCCGAAUAAGAAGGUCCGGCUAACUUCGUGCCAGCAGCCGCGGUAAUACGAAGGGACCUAGCGUAGUUCGGAAUUACUGGGCUUAAAGAGCUCGUAGGUGGUUAGAAAAGUUGGUGGUGAAAUCCCAAGGCUUAACCUUGGAACUGCCACCAAAACUUUUUAACUUGAGUAUGAUAGAGGAAAGUGGAAUUUCUAGUGUAGAGGUGAAAUUCGUAGAUAUUAGAAAGAACACCAAUUGCGAAGGCAACUUUCUGGAUCAUUACUGACACUGAGGAGCGAAAGCAUGGGUAGCGAAGAGGAUUAGAUACCCUCGUAGUCCAUGCUGUAAACGAUGUGUGCUAGACGUUGGAAAUUUAUUUUUCAGUGUCGCAGCAAAAGCGUUAAGCACACCGCCUGGGGAGUACGACCGCAA